UACGUAGGGGGCGAGCGUUGUCCGGAUUCAUUGGGCGUAAAGAGCACGUAGGCGGCUUGGCAAGUCGGGUGUGAAACCUCCAGGCUCAACCUGGAGAUGCCACCCGAUACUGCCAUGGCUAGAGUCCGGUAGGGGCCCACGGAACUCCUGGUGUAGCGGUGAAAUGCGCAGAUAUCAGGAAGAACACCGGUGGCGAAGGCGGUGGGCUGGGCCGGAACUGACGCUGAGGUGCGAAAGCGUGGGGAGCGAACAGG
This 254-nucleotide ribosomal RNA is filed under the name uncultured bacterium. RNAcentral's name for it is "partial 16S ribosomal RNA". It matches the Rfam family "Bacterial small subunit ribosomal RNA", at positions 524 to 776 of the family's 1533-position model. The record is from RNAcentral.